RNAcentral lists this non-coding RNA (104 nucleotides) under Lacicoccus alkaliphilus. RNAcentral's name for it is "Salinicoccus alkaliphilus SAM-I sequence". It matches the Rfam family "SAM riboswitch aptamer (S box leader)". From Rfam's summary of the family: The SAM riboswitch is found upstream of a number of genes which code for proteins involved in methionine or cysteine biosynthesis in Gram-positive bacteria. The SAM riboswitch acts at the level of transcription termination control. The predicted structure consists of a complex stem-loop region followed by a single stem loop terminator region. RNAcentral also lists the same sequence under 1 other name. Lineage: Bacteria; Bacillati; Bacillota; Bacilli; Caryophanales; Salinicoccaceae. The record is from RNAcentral.
CUCUUAUCAAGAGCAGGUGGAGGGAUCACACCCGUCGAAGCCCAGCAACCUCUUUUUUAUAAAGAAAGGUGCUAAAGAACGCAGAGUAUUCUGAGCGAUAAGGG